CAUGACUCGGAAUAUAGUACAUGUUGAUUUUUUUACAAAUUAUUUUACACUUUUGAAUUAUGAGUCACGCAAACAUAAAAGAAAGUACAAAGUAUAAUACAACUUAAUUAUACACACAGUAUAGAUAUAAAAAAAACACUUCAUAAAAACCGUAUGUAGUAUCUUCUCAAUUUGUGGAUAAAGAUAAAAUAAGGAAUUUGGAAAGACAUCGCUAUCUAGAUCAAGAGUGUAUUUAGGGAGGGGGAAGAGGGGAGUGGGGUCGUUCCCUCUUCCAUGGUGAACAAAAUUUGAAAUGGAACAGAAAAAAUAUAACCAACAAAUUUCGGCUAAACUUUACUUCUGGGCACUAAAAAUUAUUGAAUUUUUUUUAUUAUGAAAAAGGGGUAAGUUCACAUAAUGAAAAACUGGAGUUAAUGAUGGAUAAACUUUUAUUCUGGUAUUAUCUUUAUAUUUUCAUUCAAUUUGGAGAUCCUUCUUUUCAAAAUCAAUACAAUUUUCAUAAAACAAAAUUUCUUCAUAAGAAUUGCAUUCUA
Long non-coding RNA from Hylaeus anthracinus, 533 nucleotides. RefSeq lists it as uncharacterized. The transcript is spliced from 2 exons. Lineage: Eukaryota; Metazoa; Arthropoda; Insecta; Hymenoptera; Colletidae. The record is from RefSeq and is a predicted model, not a curated record.